Long non-coding RNA from Melanotaenia boesemani (Boeseman's rainbowfish), 95 nucleotides. RefSeq lists it as uncharacterized. The record is from RefSeq and is a predicted model, not a curated record. Lineage: Eukaryota; Metazoa; Chordata; Actinopteri; Atheriniformes; Melanotaeniidae. The transcript is spliced from 3 exons.
CAGAUCUGAUCCAGUUCCGACUGGAACUAGGAGGUUUUCCUGAUCCAGAUCUGAUCCAGUUCCGGCUGGAACUAGGAGGUUUUCCUGGUCCAGAU